AUGGAGGAGGUGGAGGCAGCCAACAGCGCGGCGGUGGAGAGCUGCCACAAGUUGCUGGCCUUGCUCUCCCAGCAGCAGGACCCAGCCCUUCUCAGGAGCAUAGCUUCAGAGACGGGUGAGGCCUGUGCCAAGUUCAGGAAGGUGGUCUCCCUCCUCAGCAAUGGUGGCGGCGGCAGGGGAGGGCAUGCUAGAGGCAGGUUCUCCAGGAGAAGGAAGCCCGUGGGGUUCUUGAGCCAGAAAGGCUUCUUGGAGAGCAGCAGCAACACCCCAUUGGGGAUGCUCAUGUCCGGGAGUGCACCUACUCCAUCCCCAUCUGCUGCUUCGGCAGCGCAACUGCGGCCCCAGGUUGGCGCGCCGCCGCAGCCGCGCAGCCUCGAUUUGGUCAGCUCAAGCAGCAAGAGCGCCCACCAGUUUGGCCCUCCGAAGAUGGUCCAGCCAUUGUCUGUGCAGUUCCAGUUUGGUGCCACUGCACAUAGAUACCCAUUCCAGCAGCAGCAGCAGAAUUUACAGGCCCAGAUGUUCAAGAGGAGCAACAGUGGGAUCAGCCUGAAGUUUGAUAGCCCCAGUGGCGGCGCUGGGACGAUCUCAUCGCCGAGGUCUUUCAUGUCCUCCCUGAGCAUGGAUGGCAGUGUAGCUAGCUUGGAUGGAAAGCCGCCGAUGCGUUUGCUCGGCGGCCCGGCUGCGAGCGACCCACUGAAUGUGCGCCAAUGCGCGCCUAAGCGGCGGUGUACGGGCAGGGGUGAGGACGGCAGCGGCAAGUGCACCACAGGUGGCAAAUGUCAUUGCUCAAAAAGAAGGAAAUUACGAAUUAAGAGGUCGAUUAAAGUGCCCGCCAUUAGCAACAAAAUAUCUGAUAUACCUCCGGAUGAAUACUCAUGGCGGAAGUACGGGCAGAAGCCGAUUAAGGGUUCCCCUCAUCCGAGGGGCUACUAUAAAUGCAGCACCGUCAGGGGCUGCCCGGCGAGGAAGCACGUCGAGCGGUGCGUGGACGAGCCGGUGAUGCUCAUCGUGACGUACGAAGGCGAGCACAGCCAUAACCGGCUGCCAACACAAUCUGCCCAGACCUAG
Molecule: ribosomal RNA, 1068 nt
Filed under: Triticum aestivum (bread wheat)
Lineage: Eukaryota; Viridiplantae; Streptophyta; Magnoliopsida; Poales; Poaceae
Description: partial small subunit ribosomal RNA
Source: RNAcentral